UCCCUGGUGGCUCAGAGGUUAAAGCGUCUGCCUGCAAUGCAAGAGACCUGGGUUCAAUCCCUGGGUUGGGAA
This 72-nucleotide transfer RNA is filed under the name Ovis aries (sheep). It matches the Rfam family "tRNA". From Rfam's summary of the family: Transfer RNA (tRNA) molecules are approximately 80 nucleotides in length. RNAcentral also lists the same sequence under 1 other name. The record is from Rfam by way of RNAcentral. Lineage: Eukaryota; Metazoa; Chordata; Mammalia; Artiodactyla; Bovidae.